GGAGGGGGGUAACAUCAUUCAAAGUCUGAUUAUGACAGGCUAAUGAAAAAUCAUAUUGAUUUCUCUUUUAUCCAAAUGCAUGUAUUUUAUAUACACUUAGUAGCUUAUGACCAUAAAUUACAUGUGAUCCAUACAUGCUGGUACUUGUAUGCUAUGAGCUAAUGGGCACGUGUCCCCUUAUUGCCGGCCUCCUCCGUGGCCGAGUGGUUAGAGUAUCGUGCUCAAAAUCACACGGCCUCUCACCUCUCUAGGCGCGGGUUCGAAUCCCGUUCGCGCCGGUAAGUGAGAAAGUUUUCCCAGUUUACUUACGAAAGGUCGGUGGUCUCUCCCGAGGUAUCUGAGUUCUCUCUUCCACCAAUAAAAAAACUGGGUGCCACCAGAUAACUGAAUUCAAUUCUACUUUUAUAUCUGGGGUCAUUCACUUUCCCUCAGAGUUUCAGUAUUUUCGCUGGACCUUGUCGGUUUUAACCUGAAUUUCUUCAGUAUUUGCCCUCAUGUAUAUGCUAGGCAUAAUGCAGACACCUACAUGAUACAUAUAUUUUUUUUCAUUACCCACUCUGCUACUCUCGCAAUGUAUAAUAAAAUAUUCGAUUCAUUUCUAACACAUGUAUGCAAUCCCUUACCUUAUCUUUAAAUAAAUUUGAGUAAAUAAAUUUAAGUGCGAAACUGUUCCAUGCUACCGUGAAACUUAUAUUUUGCUUUUUAAACAUAAACCAACAAUUUUUAAUUGUAAUUUCUUUUCUUCUUUAAAAAGGGUAUUGACAUCCCAAUAUUUAGUGGGAAGUUCCCAGGUAUCAUCCGCUAGCGACAGUCUACUGGCAAAUCCAGACAUGCAUUGGAAGGAUGCUGAUGUGGAGGACACAGGGACACCUGAUCCAAGAACUGUGGCAUUUCAUUCGGGGUGACAACCUGGCUUUCAGUUGAUAUGGGACCCUAUUACGGUAUUCGGAGAACUGCAGAUUUUAUGAAGCUGUCUUUGACAGAAGAUUUGGUUUUCUCCAUUUGUGUUGCCACCAACCAUUAUGCUGAGAUGGUCAAAUGUAGGGGGAAGGGUUGCCAUAUACUUCCCUAGGAAGUUUGCAGCCUCUCACUGAAGAGGAACUGUACAGGUAUUACUAGUUUUAAAAACCAAUAUUGUGGCAGUGAUUUCCAGUUUAAAAAGAAUAAUAAAA
Long non-coding RNA from Ostrea edulis (European flat oyster), 1172 nucleotides. RefSeq lists it as uncharacterized. The record is from RefSeq and is a predicted model, not a curated record. The transcript has 2 exons. NCBI's taxonomy places the organism in Eukaryota, Metazoa, Mollusca, Bivalvia, Ostreida, Ostreidae.